UACGGAGGAUGAGAGCGUUAUCCGGAUUUAUUGGGUUUAAAGGGUGCGUAGGCGGACGCUUAAGUCAGCGGUAAAAUUGCGGGGCUCAACCUCGUCGAGCCGUUGAAACUGGGUGCCUUGAGUGGGCGAGAAGUACGCGGAAUGCGUGGUGUAGCGGUGAAAUGCAUAGAUAUCACGCAGAACUCCGAUUGCGAAGGCAGCGUACCGGCGCCCUACUGACGCCGAAGCACGAAGGCGUGGGUAUCGAACAGG
RNAcentral lists this ribosomal RNA (252 nucleotides) under uncultured bacterium. RNAcentral's name for it is "partial 16S ribosomal RNA". It matches the Rfam family "Bacterial small subunit ribosomal RNA", at positions 524 to 776 of the family's 1533-position model. The record is from RNAcentral.